RNAcentral lists this ribosomal RNA (760 nucleotides) under Stenosfemuraia sp. BB-2004. RNAcentral's name for it is "eukaryotic LSU rRNA". It matches the Rfam family "Eukaryotic large subunit ribosomal RNA", at positions 366 to 860 of the family's 3401-position model. The record is from RNAcentral. Lineage: Eukaryota; Metazoa; Arthropoda; Arachnida; Araneae; Pholcidae.
GCAAAGAACUUGAAGAGAGAGUUCAAGAGUACGUGAAACUGCUCAGAGGCAAACGGGUGGGCCCUCGAAAUCCCAUUGCGGAGAGAUUCAGUCGGCGCCCGGGCGGGCGUAUGCGGUCGCCGGACCCGAAGAGGUCGUGCGCCGCGACGCGGUCCGCUCUCGGUUCCGACGCACUUCUCUCCGCACCGAGGACGCCGCGACGGAUCGGGUAGCAGCGAGAGUCGGCCUUGAGGCGAUCCGGGCAGGUGGCCGGUGCCUGCGGACUCGUUUCCGCACGCCGGUUAUUCACCGGUCUUCGUCAGCGUGGCGCGACACCCGAUCGAGGUCAAAGUUUCCCCGUGCGGGGAACCGAUCGUCUCCGUCCUCCAAAGGGCGCGGCGCACCGUGCCAGUGAGCACCGGCGUUAGUCGAACCACUCCCCGCAGUGGCCGACGCGUCGGCGGCCGUCGUUGGGCUGCGGGCAAGGCCGCCGUGCGAGACGGAAGGUCGGCGGCGAGUAGGUCGGUCACCCACCCGACCCGUCUUGAAACACGGACCAAGGAGUCUAACAUGUGCGCGAGUCGCAGGGUCUUGAACAGGCCCGGGGGCGCAAUGAAAGUGAAGGCGACGUCACGUCGUCGAGUUGGGACCCCCGAUCCUCCGCGGUCGGGGAGCACCAACGACCCGUUCCUUCCGGUCCGCCGGUGGAGCGGAGUCUGAGCGCACACGUUGGGACCCGAAAGAUGGUGAGCUAUGCCUGGGCAGAACGAAGCCAGAGGAA